AUUGAACGCUGGCGGCAGGCUUAACACAUGCAAGUCGAGCGGGGGAAGGUAGCUUGCUACUGGACCUAGCGGCGGACGGGUGAGUAAUGCUUAGGAAUCUGCCUAUUAGUGGGGGACAACAUCUCGAAAGGGAUGCUAAUACCGCAUACGUCCUACGGGAGAAAGCAGGGGAUCUUCGGACCUUGCGCUAAUAGAUGAGCCUAAGUCGGAUUAGCUAGUUGGUGGGGUAAAGGCCUACCAAGGCGACGAUCUGUAGCGGGUCUGAGAGGAUGAUCCGCCACACUGGGACUGAGACACGGCCCAGACUCCUACGGGAGGCAGCAGUGGGGAAUAUUGGACAAUGGGGGGAACCCUGAUCCAGCCAUGCCGCGUGUGUGAAGAAGGCCUUAUGGUUGUAAAGCACUUUAAGCGAGGAGGAGGCUACUUUAGUUAAUACCUAGAGAUAGUGGACGUUACUCGCAGAAUAAGCACCGGCUAACUCUGUGCCAGCAGCAGCCGCCG
This 501-nucleotide ribosomal RNA is filed under the name uncultured bacterium. RNAcentral's name for it is "partial 16S ribosomal RNA". It matches the Rfam family "Bacterial small subunit ribosomal RNA", at positions 30 to 523 of the family's 1533-position model. The record is from RNAcentral.